CGAACGUGGAUAACCUGCCUCAUAGUGGGGGAGUAACAGUUGGAAACGGCUGCUAAUACCGCAUAAGCGCACAGCAUCGCAUGAUGCCGUGUGAAAAACUCCGGUGCUAUGAGAUGGAUCCGCGUCUGAUUAGCUAGUUGGUAGGGUAAGAGCCUACCAAGGCGACGAUCAGUAGCCGGCCUGAGAGGGCGACCGGCCACAUUGGGACUGAGACACGGCCCAGACUCCUACGGGAGGCAGCAGC
Molecule: ribosomal RNA, 244 nt
Filed under: uncultured Roseburia sp.
Lineage: Bacteria; Bacillati; Bacillota; Clostridia; Lachnospirales; Lachnospiraceae
Description: partial 16S ribosomal RNA
Rfam family: Bacterial small subunit ribosomal RNA
Source: RNAcentral